GUGUAUGAGUCGGAUACUGGUUAGCCGAGCCUGACUGUGAAUCAGGAGAUCAUACAGAUCGUGCGGGUUCGAUUCCCGUCGUACACC
RNAcentral lists this transfer RNA (87 nucleotides) under Planctomycetaceae bacterium. Its description in RNAcentral is "tRNA-His". It matches the Rfam family "tRNA". Rfam says of the family: Transfer RNA (tRNA) molecules are approximately 80 nucleotides in length. Their secondary structure includes four short double-helical elements and three loops (D, anti-codon, and T loops). The record is from RNAcentral. Lineage: Bacteria; Pseudomonadati; Planctomycetota; Planctomycetia; Planctomycetales; Planctomycetaceae.